RNAcentral lists this ribosomal RNA (448 nucleotides) under uncultured bacterium. RNAcentral describes it as "bacterial SSU rRNA". It matches the Rfam family "Bacterial small subunit ribosomal RNA", at positions 355 to 796 of the family's 1533-position model. The record is from RNAcentral.
UGGGGAAUCUUGCGCAAUGGGCGAAAGCCUGACGCAGCGACGCCGCGUGCGGGAAGAAGGCCUUCGGGUUGUAAACCGCUUUCAGGAGGGACGAAGCCACUCGGGUUAAUAGCCCAGAGGGUGACGGUACCUCCAGAAGAAGCCCCGGCUAACUACGUGCCAGCAGCCGCGGUAAUACGUAGGGGGCAAGCGUUGUCCGGAUUUAUUGGGCGUAAAGAGCGUGUAGGCGGCCAGAUAGGUCGGUUGUGAAAACUGGAGGCUUAACCUUCAGACGUCGACCGAAACCAUCUGGCUAGAGUCCGGAAGAGGAGAGUGGAAUUCCUGGUGUAGCGGUGAAAUGCGCAGAUAUCAGGAAGAACACCCGUGGCUAAGGCGGCUCUCUAGUACGGUACUGACGCUGAGACGCGAAAGCGUGGGGAGCGAACAGGAUUAGAUACCCCUGUAGUCC